RNAcentral lists this ribosomal RNA (252 nucleotides) under uncultured bacterium. RNAcentral's name for it is "partial 16S ribosomal RNA". It matches the Rfam family "Bacterial small subunit ribosomal RNA", at positions 524 to 776 of the family's 1533-position model. The record is from RNAcentral.
UACGGAGGAUGCGAGCGUUAUCCGGAUUUAUUGGGUUUAAAGGGUGCGUAGGCGGAUUUUUAAGUCAGCGGUAAAAUGUCCGGGCUCAACCCGGGCCGGCCGUUGAAACUGGGGAUCUUGAGUGGGCGAGAAGUAUGCGGAAUGCGUGGUGUAGCGGUGAAAUGCAUAGAUAUCACGCAGAACUCCGAUUGCGAAGGCAGCAUACGGGCGCCCGACUGACGCUGAGGCACGAAAGCGUGGGGAUCGAACAGG